Dermochelys coriacea (leatherback sea turtle) is the source of this 457-nucleotide long non-coding RNA. RefSeq lists it as uncharacterized. The transcript has 3 exons. Lineage: Eukaryota; Metazoa; Chordata; Testudines; Dermochelyidae. The record is from RefSeq and is a predicted model, not a curated record.
AUUCCAUCCUAAUUAGGAAUGUACCUGUUGGUCAACUGGGAGAGCUGCUACCUCAUUCCCCUGGACCCCAAUAUUAGGAUUUAACCUAUAUACUUCAAUAGACAUAGUUUGGGGGUAAUUACCUGUGUGUCAGCAAUAUGUUAAUUUGGCCAUGGGCGGAGCCAUUAUGUAAUCUUUUAGACCAUAUGCUUAUUGUGCUUAUCUUGUCUCACUGCUAGAACCUAUCCAGGGGCUUGGAAAAACCCAUUCCCGUCACUUCUCUCUGCCCAAUGAGCACCCUAUAUAAUCUAUUGUAAUCAAUUGUUCUGCAGUGUCUCUAAGCCUAAUAAGCAAAGUGACUCUCCGCCAGCGCUGUGCGUAACAAACUUCUGUGUUUGACCCUACAUGGUGUGGAUUACUGUUUCUUCAGGCUGAAAGGGCAGACACCGAGCAAUGUGUCUGCACACAGAGUUCAGGA